RNAcentral lists this long non-coding RNA (231 nucleotides) under Penaeus japonicus. RNAcentral's name for it is "uncharacterized LOC122267090". The record is from RNAcentral. Lineage: Eukaryota; Metazoa; Arthropoda; Malacostraca; Decapoda; Penaeidae.
AAGACAUUGUAUCGCUGCAUGAUAAGUACAGCCCUUCAGAUAAAGAUUUGGCUUAGUAGUGCUCUUGCCGUGGCGACGAACGCACAGGUGGUGAUGGGCGCUUGCAAGCAUUGCGGAUAUGCCGGCUUUGUGUCCAGAAAGGGCCUUGUCCCGGUGCUGAUAGUGACACUGAUAAUCUACGUGGUGAAAGAGCACCCUCAAAAUGGGGACGCCACUGACACGCCGCGGCCG